ACCUUGCUGAUGAGUGCCAAGUAGCACGAAACUCGGGUCCAGGGU
Non-coding RNA from Schistosoma mansoni, 45 nucleotides. The record is from Rfam. NCBI's taxonomy places the organism in Eukaryota, Metazoa, Platyhelminthes, Trematoda, Strigeidida, Schistosomatidae.